AGCAGCCGCGGUAAUUCCAGCUCCAAUAGCGUAUAUAAAGUGUGCAGUAAAAGCUCGUAUGAAUUCGGGAUCAGAUUGUCGGUCGUGCCUCGGUACGCACUGGCAUUAUUGGUUCCUACUUCUGAAGAACCGCGAUGUCAUUAAUUUGGUGUCGUGGGGAAUCAGGACUGUUACUUUAAAAAUUAGAGUGUUUAAAGCAGGCGCACGCUUGAAU
RNAcentral lists this ribosomal RNA (214 nucleotides) under uncultured Glomeromycotina. Its description in RNAcentral is "partial small subunit ribosomal RNA". It matches the Rfam family "Eukaryotic small subunit ribosomal RNA", at positions 569 to 800 of the family's 1831-position model. The record is from RNAcentral. Lineage: Eukaryota; Fungi; Glomeromycota.